UCCUCAACUUCUGCAGGUCCUUUCAAUUGUCCCUUCACCGCCUUUUUCUACCUUCCUCUCUUCUUUUAUAUUUCUCGUCCUUCCUCUUCUACCUUCACCCUCUCCUCUCUCACGAAAAUGACUCGCAAUCUCUCCAUGCCUCUCUUCAAAACGCCUACCCAUCUUAUUCUUCUUCCCUUGAAGUAGAAAUCCUCUCCUCUGAUUCUUCUCACUCAGAAUGAUCGGUGCAUCGCUCCUCGUCCGAAGAAGUGUUCAUGUUCUUCCAAGAAGAAAGUCGCAAAGAAAGCGCGUGUUGUCUUUCCCAAUUCCUUUACAGACAAUGACUCCUUUAUCUCUUGGGGGAUUGAACACAAGAUGCGGAACUCCUCUUUCUCAAAAUGAACCAUCGUAGCUGGGGGCGUAAUCAACCUUGAAAAUCUUGAAGCUUCCCACUAUGUUUUUUGGUAAUACACAAUAGAUAGUGCUGAAGACAAUAACUCAUCUGCAAGCUUACCAUAUGGACUGCUUAUCUCUCAUAUCGUUGUCAGUUCCUUGGUUGAUCUCUCUAUGUACAAGCCUACUUUGAUAGAUGCCACUUAUGAAACUCGAACGUUCUCCAGCAUGGGCUAUGUGAUGGUUAAUGAGAUAUUGUACAAGAAGGACUCUGUUCGGACUAGAACUGACACACCACGGUCCACUCGCAUUUCUGCCGAUUCUGCUGCAAUGUUCCUCAAAGAAGCGGAUCAUAGUAAGGUAAGGCUCGAUGGUCUUGAAUCCCAUAUGCAGGUCAUAUAGGAUACCCUUGGAAAGGUGAUACAACUACACAAGGAUUCCAGAACAGAUAUGGGCAAGUUACUUCUUGAAGUACAGGAAAUUAAGAAGGAUGUUUUUCGCUGAGUCAAUAAAAUUCUCAAGGAAGACAACUCCAUAGAGACUGGAGCUGACUCUGCUCACAAUGGAUUGGUUGUCUCUAUGCAUACCUCUUACUCUACUUUUUCAAAAACUGUUUAGAAAUCUCUUAAUAGUUUUUGUAAGAACGUGAUAAACAUCCUGACGUACUUUCUGGCCAAACAUUAAGUUGGUGAUCAUUUUUUUUCCUUAAGACAUUAUGUUUGUGGAGUUAUAUCUCCUUCUCUCUUAGACUGUAAUUGGGGCUUCUGACCACAUACUCUUUCGUUUAUAUAUUUGUUUAUGCCCA
Molecule: long non-coding RNA, 1177 nt
Organism: Solanum pennellii
Lineage: Eukaryota; Viridiplantae; Streptophyta; Magnoliopsida; Solanales; Solanaceae
Exons: 2
Source: RefSeq, a predicted model, not a curated record